UGCACAUCACAGGUAAUCCACUGAGAGAUUGGUCACAGAUGUUACCUGGUCACAUAGCCAAGCAGAUACCACCCAUGAGACCUGUGUUCUCAAGAUAAGCUGUAAUUAAUCCUCAAGUGAGAGUGUGGCAGCAUCCUUUAUCACUAAUAAAGGUCACCUGGUGACCUUGUGUGUUGGCUAAUUGCCUUUAUCCAGAGGAAAAUAAAUUUCUACCCGUAUGACAAGCUGGAGAGAGGAAACUGGGCAAGUUAGGCCCCCACCUAAGUUAAGUUAGGCUCCUGCUUUCCCAGGGAUAUAUAGGGAGAUGGGGGUAUGCCAUCUUUCUCAACGCUUGCCUUCACAGAGAUGCCUCCCAGGUGCUAGUUCUUCAAAUUGGCAAAAACUUUUAAAAGGCCAGGAUUGGUGACAGGCACCCAAAAUACUAGUGAUUAGGAAGGCUGAGUGGGAGGAUGGCAAGUUUGAGGCCAGACUAGGUAAUUUAGCGAGAUGUUUCAAAAUUUACAAAGAUAAAGCUACCAAGGCCUGGGAAUGUAGUACAGUGAUACAGACCCCCAGAUUCAAUCCCUACUACAGGGGGAAAAAACCCUUUUUUUAAAAAAAUAUCAAAGGGGCAGAAAAAGAGGGAGAAUCAACAGUUAAUUACAAGUUUUAUUUUUAAACAAUGCUCUAAGGAGGGAGGAGGUAAUUCUUCUCUGCUGUUUUUUCCAUCAGGAGGAAUUAUCAUUCUGUUAGAGUCUGUAAACAAGUCAAAAUAACACCUGGCAUUUUGCCAGGGGAAUGUUAAAGUUGGUAAACAAGUCUGGAUGGU
Molecule: long non-coding RNA, 808 nt
Filed under: Marmota monax (woodchuck)
Lineage: Eukaryota; Metazoa; Chordata; Mammalia; Rodentia; Sciuridae
Source: RNAcentral